RNAcentral lists this transfer RNA (73 nucleotides) under Culex quinquefasciatus (southern house mosquito). It matches the Rfam family "tRNA". Rfam says of the family: Transfer RNA (tRNA) molecules are approximately 80 nucleotides in length. Their secondary structure includes four short double-helical elements and three loops (D, anti-codon, and T loops). Further hydrogen bonds mediate the characteristic L-shaped molecular structure. tRNAs have two regions of fundamental functional importance: the anti-codon, which is responsible for specific mRNA codon recognition, and the 3' end, to which the tRNAs corresponding amino acid is attached (by aminoacyl-tRNA synthetases). tRNAs cope with the degeneracy of the genetic code in two manners: having more than one tRNA (with a specific anti-codon) for a particular amino acid; and 'wobble' base-pairing, i.e. permitting non-standard base-pairing at the 3rd anti-codon position. The record is from Rfam by way of RNAcentral. Lineage: Eukaryota; Metazoa; Arthropoda; Insecta; Diptera; Culicidae.
CGGCCCGUGGCUUAAUGGAUACGGCUCCCGUCUCAUAAGCGCAAGGUUCCGGGUUCGAUUCCCGGCUGGUCUC